UCAGACUUAACAAUGUUUAAUUCAUUCAAUUAAGUUUAGGAUUUUCUGCUGUUUAGAAAUCAGGAUCGGUCAAUUUGAUUUUUAAGUUGCGCAAACUGUGCUAAUGCUAUCCUUCAGUGAAAUUUAAUUUCCUAUGUGAGUCCCGAUUCCCAAGCAUGUGAAAUUAGCAUUGUUUGUUGGUUCUAAACAAUUUUCUAAUUAGUCAGACUUAGCGGUGUUAUCUUCAAUUCAGUUUAGUUUAGGCUUUUUGCAGCUCAGAAAAUCAGGAUCCGAUUUGAUUAGGCUCAUUUAAUUUGUGCUAACCCUAUUCUUCAGUGGAAUCCAAAAGGGAUGUCUCUACAUUGUAAUGGAUUUUAUUGUGCUGCUAUUCUUCAGUUGCAUUGCACCCCCGCGUCCACAAUUCAAAGUUGGUUCAGUUUAGACUUUGCAGAUCAUCAAAAAUAGGUUUCUUUUGCUGAUAAUUUUUCUUUACUGAGAACCAAAAACUACACCUGGACCACCAUUUACUAAGACUGGAUCUCAUUAUGGCUAUAUUACAACUCGGUAGUGUCUCAUUCUCACUGGCAUGUUAUUGUUUUACCAUGCUAAUGCAGGCGAUCUGAAGCAAGGAAAUGCUCAUGCCUAAAGACCCAAGUGGCACUAUUAUCAUGCCUCCCAAGUUUGAAAUGGGUGUGCGGUGAUUUGGGGAGAUGUAGGGGCGCUUGGUGCUGCCGAUUUGGGUAGUGCUCGGGUACAGCUCUGCCGCCUAGAGCUCCGCCGCCAGCGCAUUUUCAUGUGGCAUGUCCUUCGAUGUGGGCGACACCAUUGAAGGGCUACCCUCCCGGCGGAGUGGCAUGCGGGAAUUGUUUCUAGGUCAUCCUUCCUCGUCUGUUCCGGCAAAUAUACGGCCAUUAGGUGGAGGUGUUCCUCUGCUCGCCAACUGCAGGAGGCGAGCGAAGCUACAACGGAGCGGCAGAUUAGGGACUUGGGUCGCUGACCAACAAAAUCAACUCACUGGCAUUCUUCUCACUUACCGGUCAAAUCCUGAACCUGGAUUCUGCUAUUCUGCUUCAUAUUCUAUUGAUUUGGUAGGCUACAUCUACGUGGAUGCAUCAGCUCUGCUCCAUAGAUAUGGAUACGAAGUGUUCCGUGGUAAUGUUCUUCGAUAAUUUUGUGUUGCCAUUGCUCCCGGUCAGAAUAUUUUAUAAUUUAUUAAUGGUCAAUACUUAUCCAUCAAACUACAAAUUCUUUCUCAAGUGUUGCAGUUUAUAUGCUGAAACAAAAUGACAUCUACCUGGAUUUGGAUCUCUGUAAUCUUAAAUGAUAUGGAUUCCAGUAAUAAAUUAUUUAUGUACGGACUCCCCGAAUGGAAUUAGCAUUUGUUGUUCCAUAAAUUUAACUCUACAGGAGCACAUGAAUUAUACCAAUGAAGAACUUAGGAUAGAGGAAAUUAUAAUUUACUAAAGUUUUAAGGAAUUGCCUGUUGAUUUCUUCUUUCUCUUCCCUAGCGACCUCUCCUCCUCCACGGUGCUCGGCAGAGGCAGCACGGGCAGCCGCUGCACUACGCGAGAGAGCGUCCUCCUAGGCCGCAUCUGAGAGGAACCAGGACCUCGUGGUGAGGUGAGCCACAGCGGCAGUGCCCAUGCACCUGUGCCGGCGACCGCGGCUGCCCCGCCCCCGAGCAUCACCCCACCCCCUCCGCGAGGGAGAGGCGUGGUGGCGUUAAGGAGAGCUCUCCCGCCGUGGUGUCGCCCCUUCCUCCGGUGCCACCGUUGCCCUCCGGACCGUCGUCCUCGCGUUCGGGUACUCUCUCCCUAUAUAUAUAUAAUCCUCAUCAUAACUUUCUCACUCCCGGUUCUGUUUUAUGUAGUCUGCCCGGAAAAAUAGCCAUCACAUAAAAUACAUUACAUAGAUUUAAAACAUAUAUUUAGAAAUAUGUGCAGGUUUGGAUUUGAUAUGAACUGAAAUAACUAUAUUUGUCAUGGACUCCUGCCAUUAGUACAAAUGUCCUAUAACUAGCUCUGCUUUGAUUGCCAUGUAGUUUUACUAGCGUAAAUACUUGCUUUUGUUUAUGUACCCCCCCCCCCCUCUGGA
Molecule: long non-coding RNA, 2073 nt
Organism: Triticum aestivum (bread wheat)
Lineage: Eukaryota; Viridiplantae; Streptophyta; Magnoliopsida; Poales; Poaceae
Exons: 3
Source: RefSeq, a predicted model, not a curated record